This 52-nucleotide transfer RNA is filed under the name Trichostrongylus vitrinus. RNAcentral's name for it is "tRNA-Ser". The record is from RNAcentral. Lineage: Eukaryota; Metazoa; Nematoda; Chromadorea; Rhabditida; Trichostrongylidae.
AAUAAGUUAUAUACAAGUCUUCUAAAUUUGUUUUAGACAUUUUGUCUGCUUA